CCUACGGGUGGCUGCAGUGGGGAAUCUUGCACAAUGGACGCAAGUCUGAUGCAGCGACGCCGCGUGGGCGACGAAGGCCUUCGGGUUGUAAAGCCCUGUGGGGCGGGACGAACACGCUCAGGUCGAACAGGCCUGGGCGCUGACGGUACCGCCUUAGCAAGCACCGGCUAACUCUGUGCCAGCAGCCGCGGUAAGACAGAGGGUGCAAACGUUGCUCGGAAUUACUGGGCGUAAAGCGCGUGUAGGCGGUCUCGCGAGUCGGGUGUGAAAGCCCG
RNAcentral lists this ribosomal RNA (275 nucleotides) under uncultured bacterium. RNAcentral's name for it is "partial 16S ribosomal RNA". It matches the Rfam family "Bacterial small subunit ribosomal RNA", at positions 338 to 604 of the family's 1533-position model. The record is from RNAcentral.